GAUGAACGCUAGCUACAGGCUUAACACAUGCAAGUCGAGGGGUAACGAGAGGAAAGCUUGCUUUCCUUGUCGACGACCGGCGCACGGGUGAGUAACGCGUAUCCAACCUGCCCCCAACUAGGGAAUAACCUUGCGAAAGUAAGACUAAUACCCUAUAAUUUCCUCAGAUGUCAUCUGACGAGGAAUAAGAUUUAUCGGUUGUGGAUGGGGAUGCGUCUGAUUAGCUUGUUGGCGGGGUAACGGCCCACCAAGGCAACGAUCAGUAGGGGUUCUGAGAGGAAGGUCCCCCACAUUGGAACUGAGACACGGUCCAAACUCCUACGGGAGGCAGCAGUGAGGAAUAUUGGUCAAUGGGCGGAAGCCUGAACCAGCCAAGUAGCGUGCAGGAUGACGGCCCUAUGGGUUGUAAACUGCUUUUAUACGGGAAUAAAGUUAGCCACGUGUGGUUAUUUGUAGGUACUGUAUGAAUAAGGACCGGCUAAUUCCGUGCCAGCCGCCGCAGUAA
RNAcentral lists this ribosomal RNA (505 nucleotides) under uncultured bacterium. RNAcentral's name for it is "partial 16S ribosomal RNA". It matches the Rfam family "Bacterial small subunit ribosomal RNA", at positions 28 to 523 of the family's 1533-position model. The record is from RNAcentral.